AUUGAACGCUAGCGGGAUGCCUUACACAUGCAAGUCGAACGGCAGCACGGACUUCGGUCUGGUUGCGAGUGGCGAACGGGUGAGUAAUGUAUCGGAACGUGCCCAGUAGCGGGGGAUAACUACGCGAAAGCGUAGCUAAUACCGCAUACGCCCUACGGGGGAAAGCAGGGGAUCGCAAGACCUUGCACUAUUGGAGCGGCCGAUAUCGGAUUAGCUAGUUGGUGGGGUAACGGCUCACCAAGGCGACGAUCCGUAGCUGGUUUGAGAGGACGACCAGCCACACUGGGACUGAGACACGGCCCAGACUCCUACGGGAGGCAGCAGUGGGGAAUUUUGGACAAUGGGGGAAACCCUGAUCCAGCCAUCCCGCGUGUGCGAUGAAGGCCUUCGGGUUGUAAAGCACUUUUGGCAGGAAAGAAACGUCGCGGGUUAAUACCCCGCGAAACUGACGGUACCUGCAGAAUAAGCACCGGCUAACUACGUG
This 484-nucleotide ribosomal RNA is filed under the name uncultured bacterium. RNAcentral's name for it is "partial 16S ribosomal RNA". It matches the Rfam family "Bacterial small subunit ribosomal RNA", at positions 30 to 507 of the family's 1533-position model. The record is from RNAcentral.